AUUGAACGCUGGCGGCAUGCCUUACACAUGCAAGUCGAACGGCAGCACGGGUGCUUGCACCUGGUGGCGAGUGGCGAACGGGUGAGUAAUACAUCGGAACGUACCUUAUCGUGGGGGAUAACGCAGCGAAAGUUGCGCUAAUACCGCAUACGCCCUGAGGGGGAAAGCGGGGGACCGUAAGGCCUCGCGCGAUUAGAGCGGCCGAUGUCUGAUUAGCUUGUUGGUGAGGUAAAAGCUCACCAAGGCGAUGAUCAGUAGCUGGUCUGAGAGGACGAUCAGCCACACUGGGACUGAGACACGGCCCAGACUCCUACGGGAGGCAGCAGUGGGGAAUUUUGGGCAAUGGGGGCAACCCUGAUCCAGCAAUGCCGCGUGAGUGAAGAAGGCCUUCGGGUUGUAAAGCUCUUUUGUCAGGGAAGAAACAGCAGCUCUAACACAGUCUGCGAAUGACGGUACCUGAAGAAUAAGCACCGGCUAACUACGUGCCAGCCGCCGGGUAA
Molecule: ribosomal RNA, 500 nt
Filed under: uncultured bacterium
Lineage: Bacteria
Description: partial 16S ribosomal RNA
Rfam family: Bacterial small subunit ribosomal RNA
Source: RNAcentral